CCUACGGGAGGCAGCAGUGGGGAAUAUUGGGCAAUGGGCGCAAGCCUGACCCAGCAACGCCGCGUGAAGGAAGAAGGCUUUCGGGUUGUAAACUUCUUUUCUCAGGGACGAAGCAAGUGACGGUACCUGAGGAAUAAGCCACGGCUAACUACGUGCCAGCAGCCGCGGUAAUACGUAGGUGGCAAGCGUUAUCCGGAUUUACUGGGUGUAAAGGGCGUGUAGGCGGGACUGCAAGUCAGGAGUGAAAGCCACGGGCUCAACCUGGGGCCUGCAUUUGAAACUGUAGUUCUUGAGUACUGGAGAGGCAGGCGGAAUUCCUAGUGUAGCGGUGAAAUGCGUAGAUAUUAGGAGGAACACCAGUGGCGAAGGCGGUCUGCUGGACAGCGACUGACGCUGAGGCGCGAAGGCGUGGGGAGCAAACAGGAUUAGAUACCCGUGUAGUC
RNAcentral lists this ribosomal RNA (443 nucleotides) under uncultured bacterium. RNAcentral's name for it is "partial 16S ribosomal RNA". It matches the Rfam family "Bacterial small subunit ribosomal RNA", at positions 338 to 795 of the family's 1533-position model. The record is from RNAcentral.